Molecule: ribosomal RNA, 426 nt
Filed under: uncultured bacterium
Lineage: Bacteria
Description: partial 16S ribosomal RNA
Rfam family: Bacterial small subunit ribosomal RNA
Source: RNAcentral
GUGAGGAAUUUUCCGCAAUGGGCGAAAGCCUGACGGAGCAAUGCCGCGUGAAGGAUGAAGGCCUAUGGGUUGUAAACUUCUUUUCUUAGAAAAGAAUAUUGACGGUAUCUGAGGAAUAAGCAUCGGCUAACUCUGUGCCAGCAGCCGCGGUAAGACAGAGGAUGCAAGCGUUAUCCGGAAUGAUUGGGCGUAAAGCGUCUGUAGGUGGCUUCAAAAGUCUCCUGUCAAAGAUCAGGGCUUAACCCUGGGCCGGCAGGAGAAACUCUGAGGCUAGAGUUUGGUAGGGGCAGAGGGAAUUCCCGGUGGAGCGGUGAAAUGCGUAGAGAUCGGGAGGAACACCAAAGGCGAAAGCACUCUGCUGGGCCACAACUGACACUGAGAGACGAAAGCGAGGGGAGCAAAAGGGAUUAGAUACCCCAGUAGUCC